Molecule: ribosomal RNA, 484 nt
Filed under: uncultured bacterium
Lineage: Bacteria
Description: partial 16S ribosomal RNA
Rfam family: Bacterial small subunit ribosomal RNA
Source: RNAcentral
AUUGAACGCUGGCGGCAGGCCUAACACAUGCAAGUCGAGCGGAUGAAGGGAGCUUGCUCCUGGAUUCAGCGGCGGACGGGUGAGUAAUGCCUAGGAAUCUGCCUGGUAGUGGGGGAUAACGUCCGGAAACGGGCGCUAAUACCGCAUACGUCCUGAGGGAGAAAGUGGGGGAUCUUCGGACCUCACGCUAUCAGAUGAGCCUAGGUCGGAUUAGCUAGUUGGUGGGGUAAAGGCCUACCAAGGCGACGAUCCGUAACUGGUCUGAGAGGAUGAUCAGUCACACUGGAACUGAGACACGGUCCAGACUCCUACGGGAGGCAGCAGUGGGGAAUAUUGGCCAAUGGGCGAAAGCCUGAUCCAGCCAUGCCGCGUGUGUGAAGAAGGUCUUCGGAUCGUAAAGCACUUUAAGUUGGGAGGAAGGGCAGUAAGUUAAUACCUUGCUGUUUUGACGUUACCAACAGAAUAAGCACCGGCUAACUUCGUG